This is a small nucleolar RNA of Cornus florida, 106 nucleotides long. The record is from RefSeq and is a predicted model, not a curated record. NCBI's taxonomy places the organism in Eukaryota, Viridiplantae, Streptophyta, Magnoliopsida, Cornales, Cornaceae.
AUGUCGUGAUGAGGACAUUUCCUAAGUAAGUCAUUCAAUUGUUCCCAUGCCUCAUGUAACAUCUCCCCAUCCCCUUAUGAAAACUCAGGAAUAGAAGUUCGCAUGC